CCAACUCUCUCUCUUUAUCCAGGCGCCGUUUGCUGUUGACGUACUCAACCAGCGGUGCUUCCCAAAUCUGUUUAAAUCCUUCAUUUCGAAGGAUCAUCGGCAUCUGAAACUUCACAAAUCUAUUUUAUAAGUUUUAAUAGAUAGAAUUGUAGGAUGAGGGAUAAGUGGCGCAAGAAACGUAUGCGACGCCUGAAGCGUAAGAGGAGAAAGAUGCGUGCCAGAUCCAAGUAGACUGCCACCGGAAACAUCCACUCUCUUACGGGCAUCGCACUCUUGCUGUGGAACAAGAACUUCAGACGUUCUACCCAAUCUGCUUCUCCUACAUGUAUCAUUUGGACAUCCCAGAAGAGUCUAUCCUCUGUACAUCACCAAGUGCAUCAUGCAGGUUCACCUCAAGGUCCCAUCUGAUCAAUCCGGAUGUCUUUUGCUGCGUCCUUGAAGUCAACUGGUUCUUGUAAUGAAAGCUGUUGACGACCUCGUCUACGCUGCUCUGGAUUUGAAAGAUUGAUGGACUGGGACUCACCUGCUAUACAAACGCUUUCCUGAUAUCUUUAGCUCCAACAUUCCAUCUGAAAAUACAGAUCACGAUGUAUUCUUCAACAAAUUCAUCUACUAUGCUAGAUUGCAGUGCCCGUUGUGGUUGUUUUUAUUACAUACUAGUACAUUAUUCACUCAAAAACUGUUCUGGUGUAUCAGCCUGUAAUAAAUCUUUUCCAUUACGUUUCAAAA
Molecule: long non-coding RNA, 729 nt
Organism: Strongylocentrotus purpuratus (purple sea urchin)
Lineage: Eukaryota; Metazoa; Echinodermata; Echinoidea; Camarodonta; Strongylocentrotidae
Exons: 3
Source: RefSeq, a predicted model, not a curated record